GUUGAUCCUGGCUCAGGAUGAACGCUGGCGGUCUGCUUAACACAUGCAAGUCGAACGCAACCUUCGGGUUGAGUGGCGGACGGGUGAGUAACGCGUGAGAAUCUGCCUUGGGGUCGGGGACAACCACUGGAAACGGUGGCUAAUACCGGAUAAGCCUUUGGGUAAAAAAUUUAUUGCCCCAAGAGGAGCUCGCGUCUGAUUAGCUAGUUGGUGAGGUAAAAGCUCACCAAGGCAGCGAUCAGUAGCUGGUCUGAGAGGACGAUCAGCCACACUGGGACUGAGACACGGCCCAGACUCCUACGGGAGGCAGCAGUGGGGAAUUUUCCGCAAUGGGCGAAAGCCUGACGGAGCAAGACCGCGCGAGGGAGGAAGGCUCUUGGGUUGUAAACCUCUUUUCUCAGGGAAGAAGCUCUGACGGUACCUGAGGAAUCAGCCUCGGCUAACUCCGUGCCAGCAGCCGCGGUAAUACGGAGGAGGCAAGCGUUAUCCGGAAUUAUUGGGCGUAAAGCGUCCGCAGGUGGCGAUUCAAGUCUGCUGUCAAAGCACGGGGCUUAACUCCGUUANAGGCAGUGGAAACUGAAUAGCUAGAGUGCCGUAGGGGUAGAGGGAAUUCCCGGUGUAGCGGUGAAAUGCGUAGAGAUCGGGAAGAACAUCGGUGGCGAAAGCGCUCUACUGGACGGCAACUGACACUCAGGGACGAAAGCUAGGGGAGCGAAAUGGGAUUAGAUACCCCAGUAGUCCUAGCUGUAAACGAUGGAUA
This 760-nucleotide ribosomal RNA is filed under the name uncultured organism. Its description in RNAcentral is "bacterial SSU rRNA". It matches the Rfam family "Bacterial small subunit ribosomal RNA", at positions 11 to 815 of the family's 1533-position model. The record is from RNAcentral.